UGGGGAAUUUUGCACAAUGGGGGAAACCCUGAUGCAGCGACGCCGCGUGAUUUAGAAGGCCUUCGGGUUGUAAAAAUCUUUUUUACGGGAUGAAAAUGACAGUACCGUAAGAAUAAGGUCCGGCUAAAUACGUGCCAGCAGCCGCGGUAAUACGUAUGGACCGAGCGUUGUCCGGAAUCAUUGGGCGUAAAGGGUACGUAGGCGGCCUAGUAAGUUAGAAGUGAAAUAAUAUAGCUCAACUAUAUAAAGCUUUUAAAACUGCUAGGCUUGAGAGAUGGAAGGGAAAGUGGAAUUCCUAGUGUAGCGGUGAAAUGCGCAGAUAUUAGGAAGAAUACCAGUGGCGAAGGCGACUUUCUGGUCAUCAUCUGACGCUGAGGUACGAAAGCGUGGGUAGCAAACAGG
Molecule: ribosomal RNA, 402 nt
Filed under: bacterium
Lineage: Bacteria
Description: partial 16S ribosomal RNA
Rfam family: Bacterial small subunit ribosomal RNA
Source: RNAcentral